AUUGAACGCUGGCGGCAGGCCUAACACAUGCAAGUCGAGCGGUAGCACAGAGAGCUUGCUCUCGGGUGACGAGUGGCGGACGGGUGAGUAAUGUCUGGGAAACUGCCUGAUGGAGGGGGAUAACUACUGGAAACGGUAGCUAAUACCGCAUAACGUCGCAAGACCAAAGAGGGGGACCUUCGGGCCUCUUGCCAUCAGAUGUGCCCAGAUGGGAUUAGCUAGUAGGUGGGGUAACGGCUCACCUAGGCGACGAUCCCUAGCUGGUCUGAGAGGAUGACCAGCCACACUGGAACUGAGACACGGUCCAGACUCCUACGGGAGGCAGCAGUGGGGAAUAUUGCACAAUGGGCGCAAGCCUGAUGCAGCCAUGCCGCGUGUAUGAAGAAGGCCUUCGGGUUGUAAAGUACUUUCAGCGGGGAGGAAGGCGAUAAGGCUAAUAACCUUGUCGAUUGACGUUACCCGCAGAAGAAGCACCGGCUAACUCCGUGCCAGCAGCCGCGGUAAUACGGAGGGUGCAAGCGUUAAUCGGAAUUACUGGGCGUAAAGCGCACGCAGGCGGUCUGUCAAGUCGGAUGUGAAAUCCCCGGGCUCACCUGGGAACUGCAUUCGAAACUGGCAGGCUAGAGUCUUGUAGAGGGGGGUAGAAUUCCAGGUGUAGCGGUGAAAUGCGUAGAGAUCUGGAGGAAUACCGGUGGCGAAGGCGGCCCCCUGGACAAAGAUGACGCUCAGUGCGAAAGCGUGGGACCCACCGGAGGAGAUACCUAGAGGGCAGGGGGGAUUCCCGUGGGUUUCAGGGGGGGGGGGCCGCCGACUUUAGUGGGGGUCGGGGGUCAGCUUUUGUUCCCUUAA
RNAcentral lists this ribosomal RNA (849 nucleotides) under uncultured Enterobacteriaceae bacterium. Its description in RNAcentral is "bacterial SSU rRNA". It matches the Rfam family "Bacterial small subunit ribosomal RNA", at positions 28 to 851 of the family's 1533-position model. Lineage: Bacteria; Pseudomonadati; Pseudomonadota; Gammaproteobacteria; Enterobacterales; Enterobacteriaceae. The record is from RNAcentral.